This 492-nucleotide ribosomal RNA is filed under the name uncultured bacterium. RNAcentral describes it as "partial 16S ribosomal RNA". It matches the Rfam family "Bacterial small subunit ribosomal RNA", at positions 29 to 507 of the family's 1533-position model. The record is from RNAcentral.
AGUGAACGCUGGCGGUAGGCCUAACACAUGCAAGUCGAACGGCACCAAAGUAAUAGCUUUCUCUUACGGGUGGCGAUUGGCGGACUUGUGAGGAAUACAUCGGAAUCUACUUUUUCGUGGUCGAUAACGUUGGACAACUUACGCUCAUACCACAUCCGGCCUGCGCCAGAAAGCAUGGGAUCUUCGCACCUUCCUCGACAGAUUUAGCCGCUGUCGGAUUAGCUAGUUGGCGCGGUAAAGGCCCACAAGGGCUACGAUCCGUACCUGGUCGGAAGGUAUGAUGAGCCAGACUGUAACUCAGACACGGUCCAGAAACCUACAGAAGGCAGCAGUGGGGAAUAUUGGACAAUGGGCGCAAGCCUGAUCCAGCCAUGCCGCGUGGGUAAAGAAGGCCUUCGGAUUGUAAAACCCUUUUGUUGGGACAGAAAAGCAGCAGGUUAACACCACGCUGUUCUGACGGUACCCAAAGAAUAAGCACCGGCUAACUUCGUG